UAGAGUUUGAUCCUGGCUCAGAACGAACGCUGGCGGCAGGCUUAACACAUGCAAGUCGAACGCCCCGCAAGGGGAGUGGCAGACGGGUGAGUAACGCGUGGGAAUCUACCUAGUUCUACGGAACAACUGAGGGAAACUUCAGCUAAUACCGUAUACGCCCUAUGGGGGAAAGAUUUAUCGGAAUUAGAUGAGCCCGCGUAAGAUUAGCUAGUUGGUGGGGUAAUGGCCUACCAAGGCGACGAUCUUUAGCUGGUCUGAGAGGAUGAUCAGCCACACUGGGACUGAGACACGGCCCAGACUCCUACGGGAGGCAGCAGUGGGGAAUAUUGGACAAUGGGCGCAAGCCUGAUCCAGCCAUGCCGCGUGAGUGAUGAAGGCCUUAGGGUUGUAAAGCUCUUUCAGUAGGGAAGAUAAUGACGGUACCUACAGAAGAAGCCCCGGCUAACUUCGUGCCAGCAGCCGCGGUAAUACGAAGGGGGCUAGCGUUGUUCGGAUUUACUGGGCGUAAAGCGCACGUAGGCGGAUUGUUAAGUCAGGGGUGAAAUCCUGGAGCUCAACUCCAGAACUGCCUUUGAUACUGGCAAUCUAGAGUCCGGAAGAGGUGAGUGGAACUCCUAGUGUAGAGGUGGAAUUCGUAGAUAUUAGGAAGAACACCAGUGGCGAAGGCGGCUCACUGGUCCGGUACUGACGCUGAGGUGCGAAAGC
Molecule: ribosomal RNA, 705 nt
Filed under: uncultured bacterium
Lineage: Bacteria
Description: bacterial SSU rRNA
Rfam family: Bacterial small subunit ribosomal RNA
Source: RNAcentral